GAUGAACGCUGGCGGCGUGCCUAAUACAUGCAAGUAGAACGCUGAAGGAGGAGCUUGCUCUUCUGGAUGAGUUGCGAACGGGUGAGUAACGCGUAGGUAACCUGCCUGGUAGCGGGGGAUAACUAUUGGAAACGAUAGCUAAUACCGCAUGACAACAGUUAUUGCAUGAUAACUGUUUAAAAGGGGCAACUGCUCCACUACCAGAUGGACCUGCGUUGUAUUAGCUAGUUGGUGAGGUAACGGCUCACCAAGGCGACGAUACAUAGCCGACCUGAGAGGGUGAUCGGCCACACUGGGACUGAGACACGGCCCAGACUCCUACGGGAGGCAGCUGUAGGGAAUCUUCGGCAAUGGACGGAAGUCUGACCGAGCAACGCCGCGUGAGUGAAGAAGGUUUUCGGAUCGUAAAGCUCUGUUGUAAGAGAAGAACGAGUGUGAGAGUGGAAAGUUCACACUGUGACGGUAUCUUACCAGAAAGGGACGGCUAACUACGUG
This 495-nucleotide ribosomal RNA is filed under the name uncultured bacterium. RNAcentral's name for it is "partial 16S ribosomal RNA". It matches the Rfam family "Bacterial small subunit ribosomal RNA", at positions 28 to 507 of the family's 1533-position model. The record is from RNAcentral.